This is a small nucleolar RNA of Acomys russatus (golden spiny mouse), 142 nucleotides long. RefSeq annotates it as small nucleolar RNA SNORA48. The transcript has a single exon. NCBI's taxonomy places the organism in Eukaryota, Metazoa, Chordata, Mammalia, Rodentia, Muridae. The record is from RefSeq and is a predicted model, not a curated record.
AGCCUGGCAAUGGGUAAAGACACACCUUGUUGGUGAUAGUGUGCUUAAAUCAGUCAGGGGCAGAGCAGAUUGGAGUCCUUUAUUCACCUUGGCUUGAUGCUUGGCUUGGUGGCUAAAGCUAUCUUAUGCCUAGGACUCAUAA